AGUUAGGUCUCCAAGUUCGUUAACAACGUGGUGGUUGGUGGUCUUACUGCUCUUUGUAUGGAUGCACUUAAUGGGUGCUUUGAUUGCGUCCAGCUAAUACUGGAUAUCAUGGAAGCACUACGCAUAAUCGCAUUACAGGUACACAACAAGUCCACAUAUGUUCACUGGAGAUACUGAAAAUGAAUUUGCACGAAAUCAAUUUUGGUGGUGGUCGGCGGCGGUGGGGAUGGUGUCUACGACGGCGGAGCUGGUGUUCCGUGGCGGAGGUGGUAAUCUUAAUUUUACUCUUGAAUGAGAAUUUUAUCAGCUUGGGAUGGAAAUAUAUACACCAUCACAAUAGUUUUUAGAAAACAUUUUUAGCCCAGAAAGUGUAGGAAAAGGAAAAUUAAAACGCUACCAAUUUCAGUUUCAUCUAAAUUUGGUGAAACCGAUUUUGGUUUCAUGUAAAUUUUCCUUAAUUUUUUUAAAGUUUUUCGGUAAAACCAACGUUGUUGGUGAUAAAUAGUAUUCUAUUAAAACAAGCAUUUAUUUCAUCUGCGUUUGAUCAAUAUCUUUUGAGGUUUUGUUGACGAAACUAAACUUUUCUAAGUGAUUUUUUUGUUGAAACAGUUUUGGUUUCAUCUGAUUUGUUUUUUAUUUUCUAUGAAACCAGUUUUGGUUUCAUCAAUGUUUCAUUAAUGAUACCGAGAUGGAUUUUUUUCUGAUGAAACCAAACAGUUUUUGAUGAAACCAGUUUUGAUUUCAUCAAAAUUUUAGUUACUCAGGUGAUGGUAUUGGCAGUUGUGGUGCUACUGGGGGUGGUAAUGGUGGUGGUGUUGUUGACAUCGGUGGUGGUUGGCGUUGGUGGUGGCUAGUGGUGGUUGGAUUUGUUCGAAGCGGCGGCGGCGGUGGUUUUAUGAAUAUUUGGUGGUGGUGGGUGGUGGAUGACGUUACCAUAAGUUGCUGGUUGGUGGUGGCGAUGGUAUGUGAGCUGGUCGACGGCAUUGGCGGUGGUCCGCGAUAAUGGUGGUCGCCAUCGGCGAUGGUAGAGUCAAUUCCUAAAUUAAGCAGAAGUAUAAGAAGAAGGUGUGGGAGGAGGAAGCCGAGAAAAAAUGUGGGGGUACCUUAAUGCUUUGGAAUUGCCUUACAAAAAGGAAGAAGAUUAUAGAGUCAAUUCCUACCUUCUGGUCAACUGCGUUUCUGGGUUUACCUUCGCCUCAAAAACUCCUGACUGAAGAAGACAAGAAGGUUUGAAUCUGAUACGUGAACUGAAAUUUAUAACUCUAUAUGAUUAUGUUUCAUGAUAUUCCCUUUGAUACAUAUGAUGAUUUCCCCUGAUUUAUAUAUGUCGAGGGAUUAGUUGUUGAAACCUGACAUUCUAAUCUGUGAAUGUUUGACGCUAACAUUAGGGUUUCAUCUUAUUUUUAUGAUGAAACCAAAAUCGGUUUCAUCGUAUUAAUGAUGAAACCAAAAUCGGUUUCAUCUAAUUUUUGAUCGGUGGUGGUGAUGGGCGGUCGUGGUGCUGGUGGCGGUGCGGCAGUUGGUGCUGAUUUUGGUCGGUAGUGGUCAACGGCGUUGGUGAUCGGCGGUGGUCGAUAGUGGUGGUUGGCGGUGAUGGUGGUCGGUGGUGGUGGCAUGAUGGCAUGCUGUUGUUGGUGGAGAUUAUAAAAUUAAAGGUGGAGUUGAUUUUUAUUUUUGUUGGGGUGAUUUAAACUAGAAGGGUAAUAUAAACAGUUUAUGUUAAAUGGGGUUUUUGUGAAAAAAAUUGUUUUAUUGGAGUUUUCGUGCAUGGAUAGUGACACCUCUGGUAUUGUAACUUGCGGACUAUAGUUAAUAUGUUAUUAUUGAGACUGUCAAGUGUUAAUGUUUUCUGAUUGAUUCUAGA
Papaver somniferum (opium poppy) is the source of this 1864-nucleotide long non-coding RNA. RefSeq lists it as uncharacterized. The transcript is spliced from 4 exons. The record is from RefSeq and is a predicted model, not a curated record. Lineage: Eukaryota; Viridiplantae; Streptophyta; Magnoliopsida; Ranunculales; Papaveraceae.